AACCGAUUAGUUUAAUGGCAGAACUGUGGCCUUUUAAGCCAAAAACACAGGUUCGAUUCCUGUAUCGG
This 68-nucleotide transfer RNA is filed under the name Candidatus Riesia sp. Its description in RNAcentral is "tRNA-Lys". It matches the Rfam family "tRNA". From Rfam's summary of the family: Transfer RNA (tRNA) molecules are approximately 80 nucleotides in length. Lineage: Bacteria; Pseudomonadati; Pseudomonadota; Gammaproteobacteria; Enterobacterales; Enterobacteriaceae. The record is from RNAcentral.